GAUGAACGCUGGCGGCGUGCUUAACACAUGCAAGUCGAACGGAAAGGCUCCUGCUUGCAGGUGUGCUCGAGUGGCGAACGGGUGAGUAACACGUGGGUGAUCUGCCCUGCACUACGGGAUAAACCUAGGAAACUGGGUCUAAUAACGGAUAGGAAGAUGGUUUUGAUGCCAUUGUGGCAAGUUUUUUCGGUGUGGGAUGAGCUCGCGGCCUAUCAGCUUGUUGGUGGGGUAAUGGACUACCAAGGCGUCGACCGGUAGCCGGCCUGGGAGGGUGUGCGGCCAGAUUGGGAUGGAGCUGCGGCCCAGCCUACUACGGGAGGCAGCAGAGGGGAAGAGUGCACUAUGGGCGGAAGCAUGAUGUAGUGAAGCCGCGUGGGGGAUGACGGCAUGCGUGUUGUAAACUCAUCUCGCUAGGGACGAAGCGCAAGUGACGGUACCUGGAGAAGAAGCACCGGCUAACUACGUG
This 466-nucleotide ribosomal RNA is filed under the name uncultured bacterium. Its description in RNAcentral is "partial 16S ribosomal RNA". It matches the Rfam family "Bacterial small subunit ribosomal RNA", at positions 28 to 507 of the family's 1533-position model. The record is from RNAcentral.